UUUCCGUAGGUGAACCUGCGGAAGGAUCAUUCAUAAUAAGUGUUUUACUGCACUUUUUAAAAAUAGUACUCACCUUGUGUGCAAUGUUGUGGUUCUUUUCGGAGAAACACCUACACCAACCUAUAACCUUGAACCACUUUGUCUGAAAAACUAUUAUGAAUACUUAAUUCAAAAUACAACUUUCAACAACGGAUCUCUUGGCUCUC
This 206-nucleotide unclassified non-coding RNA is filed under the name plant metagenome. Its description in RNAcentral is "partial contains small subunit ribosomal RNA, internal transcribed spacer 1, and 5.8S ribosomal RNA". The record is from RNAcentral.